UUGACAUCCAGCGAACUUGGCAGAGAUGCCCUUGGUGCCUUCGGGAACGCUGAGACAGGUGCUGCAUGGCUGUCGUCAGCUCGUGUUGUGAAAUGUUGGGUUAAGUCCGCAACGAGCGCAACCCUUAUCCUUUGUUGCCAGCGAUUCGGUCGGGAACUCAAAGGAGACUGCCGGUGAUAAACCGGAGGAAGGUGGGGAUGACGUCAAGUCAUCAUGGCCCUUACGAGUAGGGCUACACACGUGCUACAAUGGCGCAUACAAAGAGAAGCGACCUCGCGAGAGCAAGCGGACCUCAUAAAGUGCGUCGUAGUCCGGAUCGGAGUCUGCAACUCGACUCCGUGAAGUCGGAAUCGCUAGUAAUCGUGGAUCGGAAUGCCACGGUGAAUACGUUCCCGGGCCUUGUACACACCGCCCGUCACACCAUGGGAGUGGGUUGCAAAAGAAGUAGGUAGCUUAACCUUCGGGAGGGCGCUUACCACUUUGUGAUUCAUGACUGGGGUGAAGUCGUAACAAGGUAAGCGUAGCGAG
Molecule: ribosomal RNA, 528 nt
Filed under: uncultured bacterium
Lineage: Bacteria
Description: bacterial SSU rRNA
Rfam family: Bacterial small subunit ribosomal RNA
Source: RNAcentral